This 497-nucleotide ribosomal RNA is filed under the name uncultured bacterium. RNAcentral describes it as "partial 16S ribosomal RNA". It matches the Rfam family "Bacterial small subunit ribosomal RNA", at positions 28 to 507 of the family's 1533-position model. The record is from RNAcentral.
GAUGAACGCUGGCGGCGUGCCUAAUACAUGCAAGUCGAGCGAACAGACGAGGAGCUUGCUCCUCUGACGUUAGCGGCGGACGGGUGAGUAACACGUGGAUAACCUACCUAUAAGACUGGGAUAACUUCGGGAAACCGGUGCUAAUACCGGAUAAUAUAUUGAACCGCAUGGUUCAAUAGUGAAAGACGGUUUUGCUGUCACUUAUAGAUGUAUCCGCGCCGCAUUAGCUAGUUGGUAAGGUAACGGCUUACCAAGGCAACGAUGCGUAGCCGACCUGAGAGGGUGAUCGGCCACCCUGGAGCUGAGACACGGUCCAGACUCCUACGGGAGGCAGCAGUAGGGAAUCUUCCGCAAUGGGCGAAAGCCUGACGGAGCAACGCCGCGUGAGUGAUGAAGGUCUUCGGAUCGUAAAACUCUGUUACUAGGGAAGAACAAAUGUGUAAGUAACUAUGCACGUCUUGACGGUACCUAAUCAGAAAGCCACGGCUAACUACGUG